GACGAACGCUGGCGGCGUGCCUAAUACAUGCAAGUCGAACGCUGAAGGAGGAGCUUGCUUCUCUGGAUGAGUUGCGAACGGGUGAGUAACGCGUAGGUAACCUGCCUGGUAGCGGGGAUAACUAUUUGAAACGAUAGCUAAUACCGCAUAAUAUUGACUAUUGCAUGAUAGUCAGUUGAAAGGGGCAACUGCACCACUACCAGAUGGACCUGCGUUGUAUUAGCUAGUUGGUGGGGUAACGGCUCACCAAGGCGAGGAUACAUAGCCGACCUGAGAGGGUGAGCGGCCAGACUGGGACGGAGACCCGGCCCAGAGGCCUACGGGAGGCAGCAGUAGGGCAUCUUCGGCAAGGGACGGAAGUCUGACCGAGAAACGCCGAGGGAUUGAAGAAGGUUGUCGGAUCGGAAAGGUCGGUUGUCAGAGAAGAACGAGUGUGAGAGUGGAAAGCUCACAAUGUGACGGUACCUGAACAGAAAGGGACGGCUAACUACGUG
This 494-nucleotide ribosomal RNA is filed under the name uncultured bacterium. RNAcentral describes it as "partial 16S ribosomal RNA". It matches the Rfam family "Bacterial small subunit ribosomal RNA", at positions 28 to 507 of the family's 1533-position model. The record is from RNAcentral.